UACGUAGGGACCAAGCGUUGUUCGGAUUUACUGGGCGUAAAGGGCGCGUAGGCGGCGUGGUAAGUCACUUGUGAAAUCUCUGAGCUUAACUCAGAACGGCCAAGUGAUACUGCUGUGCUAGAGUGCAGAAGGGGCAAUCGGAAUUCUUGGUGUAGCGGUGAAAUGCGUAGAUAUCAAGAGGAACACCUGAGGUGAAGACGGGUUGCUGGGCUGACCCUGACGCUGAGGCGCGAAAGCCAGGGGAGCAAACGGG
Molecule: ribosomal RNA, 253 nt
Filed under: uncultured bacterium
Lineage: Bacteria
Description: partial 16S ribosomal RNA
Rfam family: Bacterial small subunit ribosomal RNA
Source: RNAcentral